This 83-nucleotide transfer RNA is filed under the name Clostridia bacterium. RNAcentral describes it as "tRNA-Leu". It matches the Rfam family "tRNA". From Rfam's summary of the family: Transfer RNA (tRNA) molecules are approximately 80 nucleotides in length. Their secondary structure includes four short double-helical elements and three loops (D, anti-codon, and T loops). The record is from RNAcentral. Lineage: Bacteria; Bacillati; Bacillota; Clostridia.
GCUUGCGUGGCGGAAUUGGCAGACGCGCCGGCCUUAGGAGCCGGUGGGUGACCGUGCAGGUUCAACUCCUGUCGCAAGCACCA